GUUCGAGUAGUGUAAGUUGGAAUACGGCAGUGAAGUUGCUGAGGUGGUGUUUAACCCUUGGACA
RNAcentral lists this transfer RNA (64 nucleotides) under Bactronophorus thoracites. RNAcentral's name for it is "tRNA-Phe". The record is from RNAcentral. Lineage: Eukaryota; Metazoa; Mollusca; Bivalvia; Myida; Teredinidae.